This 780-nucleotide ribosomal RNA is filed under the name uncultured bacterium. Its description in RNAcentral is "bacterial SSU rRNA". It matches the Rfam family "Bacterial small subunit ribosomal RNA", at positions 555 to 1336 of the family's 1533-position model. The record is from RNAcentral.
UGGGCGUAAAGCGCGUGUAGGCGGUUACGUAAGUCUGCUGUGAGAGUCGGAGGCUCAACCUCCGAAAGCCGGUGGAUACUGCGUGACUAGAGUACGGAAGAGGAGAGUGGAAUUCCUGGUGUAGCGGUGAAAUGCGCAGAUAUCAGGAGGAACACCAACGGCGAAGGCAGCUCUCUGGGACGUUACUGACGCUGAGACGCGAAAGCGUGGGGAGCAAACAGGAUUAGAUACCCUGGUAGUCCACGCCGUAAACGAUGGACACUAGAUGUGGGGGGUAUCGACUCCCCCCGUGUCGUAGCUAACGCGUUAAGUGUCCCGCCUGGGGAGUACGGCCGCAAGGCUAAAACUCAAAGGAAUUGACGGGGACCCGCACAAGCAGCGGAGCAUGUGGAUUAAUUCGACGCAACGCGAAGAACCUUACCUGGGCUUGACAUACCUCUGAUCGCCGUGGAAACACGGCUUCCCUUCGGGGCAGAGAUACAGGUGGUGCAUGGCUGUCGUCAGCUCGUGUCGUGAGAUGUUGGGUUGAGUCCCGCAACGAGCGCAACCCCCGUCCUAUGUUGCCAGCAUUCAGUUGGGGACUCAUAGGAGACUGCCGGUGACAAACCGGAGGAAGGUGGGGAUGACGUCAAGUCAUCAUGCCCCUUAUGUCCAGGGCUUCACACGUGCUACAUUGGCGGAUACAGAGGGCUGCGAUACCGCGAGGUGGAGCGGAUCCCAAAAAGUCCGUCUCGGUUCGGAUUGGAGGCUGAAACUCGCCUCCAUGAAGGCGGAGUUGCU